Molecule: transfer RNA, 69 nt
Filed under: Diaphanes mendax
Lineage: Eukaryota; Metazoa; Arthropoda; Insecta; Coleoptera; Lampyridae
Description: tRNA-Val
Source: RNAcentral
CAAAUUGAAGCUUUUAGGAAGCUUUUUAUUUACAUUAAGAUUAUUAUUGUGUAAUUCAGUACAAUUUGU